AAUCUCAGUUCGGAUUGUAGGCUGCAACUCGCCUACAUGAAGUUGGAAUCGCUAGUAAUCGCGAAUCAGAAUGUCGCGGUGAAUACGUUCCCGGGUCUUGUACACACCGCCCGUCACACCAUGGGAGUCGGAAAUGCCCGAAGUCUGUGACCCAACCUUAGGGAGGGAGCAGCCGAAGGCAGGUCGGAUGACUGGGGUGAAGUCGUAACAAGGUAAC
This 217-nucleotide ribosomal RNA is filed under the name uncultured bacterium. RNAcentral's name for it is "partial 16S ribosomal RNA". It matches the Rfam family "Bacterial small subunit ribosomal RNA", at positions 1284 to 1500 of the family's 1533-position model. The record is from RNAcentral.